This 453-nucleotide ribosomal RNA is filed under the name uncultured Gram-positive bacterium. RNAcentral's name for it is "bacterial SSU rRNA". It matches the Rfam family "Bacterial small subunit ribosomal RNA", at positions 37 to 507 of the family's 1533-position model. The record is from RNAcentral.
UAGCGGCGUGCCUAACGCAUGCAAGUCGAACGGGNAAGCUGUCUUCGGGCAGCGGUAGUAGUGGCGAACGGGUGAGUAACACGUAGGUGACCUGCCUCAGAGAGGGGGACAACCAGUGGAAACGCUGGCUAAUACCCCGGAUGUCUAUCUUAUUAGAAAGGUAAGACUAAAGCUCCGGCGCUCUGAGAGGGGCCUGCGGUCCAUCAGCUAGUUGGUGAGGUAAUGGCUCACCAAGGCAUAGACGGAUAGGGGGCGUGAGAGCGCGACCCCCCACACUGGUACUGACACACGGACCAGAUACCUACGGGUAGCAGCAGCGAGGAAUAUUGCGCAAUGGGGGAAACCCUGACGCAGCAACGCCGCGUGAAGGAUGAAGGCCUUCGGGUUGUAAACUUCUUUUCUGAGGGAAGAGGAAGGACGGUACCUCAGGAAUAAGGCCCGGCUAACUACGUG